GUGUGUGAUGGCAGGCCUGCCGUGUGUUUGACCUGUUGCUGUGUGUUGCUGUGUGACUGCUAGGAUUUCAUUUCUAUGUAUGUUUUUUUCCCCAUAACCCCCUUCCUCCCUAGCUCUUUAGCUGUUGUCCCUGCUGGGUGGAUGCUGCCGGGCGACCAACGGCGGUGGCGGUGUGCAACGCGGGAGCUGCUGAGGUUUGGGGUAGCACUACGGUGCAGGUUAUGUAGGGUGUGUGAGUUUUUUUUUUGUGUGAGUGUCUUUUUUUUUGUGUGGGGUGUUGGCGGGGGACUUAGCUAAUCACUGUGUCAGGAAGGCAUGGGCGUGGCCGUCUGUCCAUCAGGCCGACGGGCGGGUGUGCCACCUGGCAGUCAGGCUAGCAGGUGACAGGCAAGCUAUCUGGCGGUCAGGCUGUCAGUCGGGCCAUCAGAUAGGUAGGCAGGCCACCUUGCGGUCAGGUUGUCGGGCGGGCACCCCACCCUCGGUCAGGUAGGCAGGCAGCAGCGUCUACGCUGAACCGUACGGCCACACGUACGAACGCACGGAACCCGUACGCUACGUUCCGCCGCACUGACGCUCGUCGUACCUCUGCUCGCACGCUUGCGGGCGGGUAGGGGGCGGGGGGCGGAUGGGCGGACGGGCGGGCGUACGUGGGAACGGGCGGGCGGACGGGUGGUCGGGCGGGUAGGGAGUCGGAGCAACGCUUGAAAGACGCGCAGAUAGAUGUCAGAUUCUCCCGUAGGGAGGUCUGGCAAGGUGAUAGUUUAGGCGGCGGAGUUGUACGCGGGCCAGUCUGUGUUACAGCUUUGCCGUCAGGGUAGCUCCUUACGAGCUGCCCAAACUGAGGACCAGUUUUCCUCACAGGAGGAGGCUGGUGGGGCCUAGGGUGUUAGGGGUACAACGGUUGGCUCUUUCACAGAACGGGUGUUUUCCGUUCUGCGUUUGAGUCUGCCGUCUUUGGGCGUCUCCCUCUGAGAUGUCGGUUAGGAUUUCUUUUUUUUAUAUGUCCGUGUGUAACUGUUGCCUUUUAGCCUGUUGUGUUCCUGAGCAGCAAGAAGAGGCGGCUGUGGUGACCCGCCCGAUGCGGAAGGCUUCUGGGCCCUGUCGGCGGGGGCGCACCUCUCUGGCUGACUGGUUGACCAGGCUUUGACCAGGUGGCCGGGGAGGCGCAUCCUCGCUGGGCGGGGUCUGGGGGCCCUCCGUCUUGGGGAGGUCGCUGCAGCAGGAGGAGGUAACUACUGCUGGUUUUGUAAGGCAUUGUGGUUGAGAGCACCUUGCAGCUGUAACGCGAAUUUCGUUCCGUAAUAAACAAUGUACCGCCAUGCUGCCUGUCCUUCCUCCCUCCCAGCACUGUGUACGUCUGUGUGUGUGUGUGUGUGUGUGUGUGUGUGUGUGUGUGUGGCUUAAUUCUCCCUCACUGCACUGUGCGUACGUCUGUGUGUGUGUGUGUUGCUCUGUCUCUCUCUCUCUCUCUCUCUCUCUCAAUCUGUCUCUCUGUCUCUGUCUCUGUCUGUCUCUCUAUCUCUCAAUCUCUCUGUGUCUUUCUCUCUCUCUCUCUCUAGUUAGUAAAGAACAGGCAACGUUUGCCAUGGAAGACUCUACAGUAUACAUAAGACUGCAGUGUACAUCCCAACCCUCUACGGCCGUUGCUGCUCCACCCGGGCAUUACCACAUCCACCCGGGUCUACAAGAAACCUCCACGGCCGAGCUUCAACCACAGAACACACCGCUACCGUUGAUGAGGUUCCACGCCCCGGACUACCGCCAUGUUAGCCUCGAUAAUAGUCCUCGGCGCACUUGUUCUGAGACGUCCUGACUGGAGAGCUACACAACACUGGUCAUCCGCUGAGUGGUUGAAUUCCUGGUCUACCGGCCCCUGGAGGAGUGGUCGAUUGCCUGGUCUACUGUGGAUAUGAGUGGUUGAUUCCCUGGUCUACCCCUGGAUGACGCAGCUGUUCCUAUGCAGGGGAAGACUCACACAAGCGAUAAGCACCUGUCGGACCUGGAGACUACCCCCUGAGCCUGACGGUGGAGCUGUGGGCCCUGCACCAGACCCCCACACCCCCCCACACCACCCACAGCAGGGGCAGGGCGUCGAGACUACCCCCACAGGCUAAGACAGGGAGGGACUUGAAGAUCCAGGUUUUUGUCAUCUGCACAGGAAUUGACACGUGACCCGCUGCAUGUUCUGCUGGAGAAAAACACUGCAUGACUGUUGUUGGGAGAAGACACAGCAUGAAGGCUUCCAGGAGCUGCAAGACAUCCUUGUGGUCAGGGCGCCUGGUCAUUAUGAUGGAGCGUCGGCAGAGAUCGAGCUGGCGGAAGGUUGGCGGCCGGGUCAAGCUCACCACCGACAAGGAUUUCCGUGACAUGCGCUCGGCCAAUGUUGUUGACCUCGGCUAUGACAAUCUUACUAAGGUGGUGGAGGUGGGGAACGGCAUCUACAUUGACGACGGACUCAAGGAGAUCGCUGAGACUACUACUAUUACUAUCCUCUAUACUGAUAUGUGUA
Long non-coding RNA from Eriocheir sinensis (Chinese mitten crab), 2509 nucleotides. RefSeq lists it as uncharacterized. The transcript is spliced from 5 exons. The record is from RefSeq and is a predicted model, not a curated record. NCBI's taxonomy places the organism in Eukaryota, Metazoa, Arthropoda, Malacostraca, Decapoda, Varunidae.